CGGGGUGAGUAGCGCGUGGGUAACCUGCCUCAUACAGGGGGAUAACAGUUAGAAAUGGCUGCUAAUACCGCAUAAGACCACAGUACUGCAUGGUACAGUGGUAAAAACUCCGGUGGUAUGAGAUGGACCCGCGUCUGAUUAGGUAGUUGGUGAGGUAACGGCCCACCAAGCCGACGAUCAGUAGCCGACCUGAGAGGGUGACCGGCCACAUUGGGACUGAGACACGGCCCAG
Molecule: ribosomal RNA, 232 nt
Filed under: uncultured bacterium
Lineage: Bacteria
Description: partial 16S ribosomal RNA
Rfam family: Bacterial small subunit ribosomal RNA
Source: RNAcentral